CACGUAGGGUGCGAGCGUUGUCCGGAAUUAUUGGGCGUAAAGCGCACGUAGGCGGCUUUGCAAGUCGGAUGUGAAAUCCCUCGGCUCAACCAAGGAAGUGCAUCCGAAACUGCCGAGCUUGAGUACUUAAGAGGAUCGCGGAAUUCCCGGUGUAGAGGUGAAAUUCGUAGAUAUCGGGAGGAACACCAGUGGCGAAGGCGGCGAUCUGGGAAGAUACUGACGCUGAGGUGCGAAAGCGUGGGGAGCAAACAGG
This 253-nucleotide ribosomal RNA is filed under the name uncultured bacterium. RNAcentral describes it as "partial 16S ribosomal RNA". It matches the Rfam family "Bacterial small subunit ribosomal RNA", at positions 524 to 776 of the family's 1533-position model. The record is from RNAcentral.